AACGCAUAUUGCACCCUCUGGUAUUCCGGAGGGUACACCUGUUUGAGCGCCAUUUAGAACUUCAAGCAUAGCUUGGUGUUGGGUAAAGUCCUUAGAAAGAAAGGGACUUACCCUUAACUCGUAGGCGAUCAUGGCCCACUUCUCCCAGCGUAGCAGGCUUACGCACAUCGCUCGGGGAUAGGAGGUUUGAUCACCUUUUAGUGACAAAUUCAUAAGUUUGGCCUCAAAUCAGGUGGGGAUACCCGCUGAACUUAA
RNAcentral lists this unclassified non-coding RNA (255 nucleotides) under uncultured Ascomycota. RNAcentral describes it as "sequence contains 5.8S rRNA gene, ITS2, 28S rRNA gene". Lineage: Eukaryota; Fungi; Ascomycota. The record is from RNAcentral.